This is a long non-coding RNA of Amphimedon queenslandica, 92 nucleotides long. RefSeq lists it as uncharacterized. The record is from RefSeq and is a predicted model, not a curated record. NCBI's taxonomy places the organism in Eukaryota, Metazoa, Porifera, Demospongiae, Haplosclerida, Niphatidae. The transcript is spliced from 2 exons.
AUGCUAAGAGCACUACAUACAAGAGGAAUAUAACAAGACUGUACUAACAGUUCAAGCUGAAAUAAAGAUGAAAUGUCAAGUGGUGUGAUACU